UUAUAUUCUUCCGCCAUCACCGGUGUGCCUCUGCAGUCAACUAAAGCUGACUGAAAUAUUUCACUAAUCAUUGUCAUGUCUUUCUGAUAAAUAUAUAACAUUGCAUGCUCAGGUACAUCUUUGAAGCUAAAGAAUACAAACAAAAUGAUUCAAAAGGCUAAAAAGGAAAGGAUGCCAAGGGUGAGAAGAUCACUCAAGAGAAGCAGUUGCUCGCCUGCAGGAAUGUGGUCGUCGAUUUACA
This 241-nucleotide unclassified non-coding RNA is filed under the name Hevea brasiliensis (rubber tree). The record is from RNAcentral. Lineage: Eukaryota; Viridiplantae; Streptophyta; Magnoliopsida; Malpighiales; Euphorbiaceae.